This 486-nucleotide ribosomal RNA is filed under the name uncultured bacterium. RNAcentral describes it as "partial 16S ribosomal RNA". It matches the Rfam family "Bacterial small subunit ribosomal RNA", at positions 29 to 507 of the family's 1533-position model. The record is from RNAcentral.
AUUGAACGCUGGCGGCAUGCUUUACACAUGCAAGUCGAGCGGCAGCGCGGGGGCAACCCUGGCGGCGAGCGGCGAACGGGUGAGUAAUGCAUCGGAACGUAUCCUCGAGUGGGGGAUAACCCAGCGAAAGUUGGGCUAAUACCGCAUGAGCUCUGAGGAGGAAAGCGGGGGACCUGCGAGGGCCUCGCGCUGGAGGAGCGGCCGAUGUCCGAUUAGCUAGUUGGUGGGGUAAAGGCUUACCAAGGCGACGAUCGGUAGCUGGUCUGAGAGGAUGAUCAGCCACACUGGGACUGAGACACGGCCCAGACUCCUACGGGAGGCAGCAGUGGGGAAUUUUGGACAAUGGGGGCAACCCUGAUCCAGCCAUGCCGCGUGAGUGAAGAAGGCCUUCGGGUUGUAAAGCUCUUUCGGACGGGACGAAAUGGGCGGGACUAAUACUCCUGUCUGAUGACGGUACCGUAAGAAGAAGCACCGGCUAACUACGUG